GGAAAGCUUAUAAACCAUUCUUAAAUCAAUGCCUAAAUAAGAUAUUUUCACACACUUGUUCAGAAAAAUAUAAUAAAACUCCAUUAACUAAUAUGAAGUAGACAAAAUGUCACUGGUUAAAUUAACAUAAAUAUAGAUAACCCCCACCACCAAUGAUUAGAGUCAGUUCAGACAAAUGUCUGACAAAUGCAACAAUACAAAUAAAAAAGACUGAUGCUCAAAACAAGCAGCACUGGUUUUGAGCAAAGGUUCAACUUUACAUUCCAUAUUUCAAAUUCAUUUUGGUAAGUUUUAUUCUAUUAAUAAAUUUUCUAACAUAUAAAUUAUUGCUUAAAUAGCACAUUUUUGUUCAUUUACUUAAUCUAACCAUAUUUGAUUAAGGAAGACAUGGAAUGUCAUUUAUAACAAAUAG
Non-coding RNA from Pelobates cultripes (western spadefoot toad), 412 nucleotides. The record is from the annotation of a GenBank genome assembly. NCBI's taxonomy places the organism in Eukaryota, Metazoa, Chordata, Amphibia, Anura, Pelobatidae.